RNAcentral lists this ribosomal RNA (460 nucleotides) under uncultured bacterium. RNAcentral's name for it is "partial 16S ribosomal RNA". It matches the Rfam family "Bacterial small subunit ribosomal RNA", at positions 338 to 795 of the family's 1533-position model. The record is from RNAcentral.
CCUACGGGAGGCAGCAGUGAGGAAUAUUGGUCAAUGGGCGCGAGCCUGAACCAGCCAAGUAGCGUGAAGGAUGACUGCCCUACGGGUUGUAAACUUCGUUUAUAAAGGAAUAAAGUGAGGCACGUGUGCCUUUUUGUAUGUACUUUAUGAAUAAGGAUCGGCUAACUCCGUGCCAGAAGCCGCGGUAAGACGGAGGAGCCGAGCGUUAUCCGGCUUUAUUGGGUGUAAGGGGAGCGUAGAUGGGUUGUUAAGUCAGUUGUGAAAGUUUGCGGCUCAACCGUAAAAUUGCAAUUGAUACUGGCAGCCUUGAGUACAGUUGAGGUAGGCGGAAUUCGUGGUGUAGCGGUGAAAUGCUUAGAUAUCACGCAGAACUCCGAUUGCGAUGGCAGCUUACUAACCUGCCACUGACAUUGAUGCUCGAAAGUGUGGGUAUCAAACAGGAUUAGCUACCCUGGUAGUC